AUGAACGCUGGCGGCGUGCCUAACACAUGCAAGUCGAACGAAGCACCUUACCUGAUUCUUCGGAUGAAAGUUUGGUGACUGAGUGGCGGACGGGUGAGUAACGCGUGGGUAACCUGCCCUGUACAGGGGGAUAACAGCUGGAAACGGCUGCUAAUACCGCAUAAGCGCACGAGGAGACAUCUCCUUGUGUGAAAAGCUCCGGUGGUACAGGAUGGGCCCGCGUCUGAUUAGCUGGUUGGCAGGGUAACGGCCUACCAAGGCAACGAUCAGUAGCCGGUCUGAGAGGAUGAACGGCCACAUUGGAACUGAGACACGGUCCAAACUCCUACGGGAGGCAGCAGUGGGGAAUAUUGCACAAUGGGGGAAACACUGAUGCAGCAACGCCGCGUGAGUGAAGAAGUAUUUCGGUAUGUAAAGCUCUAUCAGCAGGGAAGAUAAUGACGGUACCUGACUAAGAAGCUCCGGCUAAAUACGUG
RNAcentral lists this ribosomal RNA (476 nucleotides) under uncultured bacterium. Its description in RNAcentral is "partial 16S ribosomal RNA". It matches the Rfam family "Bacterial small subunit ribosomal RNA", at positions 29 to 507 of the family's 1533-position model. The record is from RNAcentral.